Molecule: unclassified non-coding RNA, 393 nt
Filed under: fungal sp.
Lineage: Eukaryota; Fungi
Description: partial internal transcribed spacer region
Rfam family: Eukaryotic small subunit ribosomal RNA (bases 1-46)
Source: RNAcentral
AAGUCGUAACAAGGUUUCCGUAGGUGAACCUGCGGAAGGAUCAUUAACACGUAUCCACGUAUUUAUCAACUAACACUAAGAACUGUAGCUCCCCUUCAAUAGACCUCCGUCUGCCAGUAACUGGGAUGUGGUGGGUUGUAUGAGAUUGCUUGCAAUUUUGUAUGACGUACUCAGUGAACGCUAUGAUUCCUCGAGGAUCAGGACGGCAACUUAUUGACGGGCUCAACCUUUCUCACCUUCUUUCACUCCCGCGGGAGAAGGUGAGGAAACCCAUACCUAUUUCACCCUAUUUUACCUAUUUGACUAAUAUUAUAUUCUUCGGGAGAAAUCCUGUUGAAUUCUAAGAUUUAUCUUAACUAAGCACAACUCUUAGCAAUGGAUAUCUUGGUUCUC